RNAcentral lists this long non-coding RNA (374 nucleotides) under Capsella rubella. RNAcentral's name for it is "long non-coding RNA (CRUB_LNC001018)". The record is from RNAcentral. Lineage: Eukaryota; Viridiplantae; Streptophyta; Magnoliopsida; Brassicales; Brassicaceae.
AAAUAUUGAAGCAUGCACGUGGACCCAAAAAUCUAAAGAGUAAGAUUAGCUUUGACCACUUAUUAGAUUACAUAGGUGUAACGCAUCCUCCUCACUACUCACACGUCUCUGUUUUUUUAUUUUUUUCUUAUUGUAUAUAAAUCUUAUAACAAUUUCUUAUUAUAAUUUUUGUGUGUGUUUAUUAUUAAUAUUUAAUUAAAUAUAAGACUUACGAGUGAUUUUUAUAUAAAAUUUUGAAUACGUAGGUUAAUAAAUUUAUAUCGAAUUUUUGUUUUUUUGUUUUUUUAUGUUGUUGUUACUUUUUCAUCGGUGUUGAAUGUGACACUCUCGAUACAUCGCUUUCGAUGUGAAAAUCUUCAAAUAUAAGGGAUCAC